AAAGGGUGCGUAGGCGGUUUAUUAAGUCAGUGGUGAAAGACGGUCGCUCAACGAUUGCAGUGCCAUUGAUACUGGUAGACUUGAGUGAGAUUGAGGUAGCUGGAAUGGAUAGUGUAGCGGUGAAAUGCAUAGAUAUUAUCCAGAACACCAAUUGCGUAGGCAAGUUACUAAGUCUCAACUGACGCUGAGGCACGAAAGUGUGGGUAUCAAACAGGAUUAGAUACCCUAGU
RNAcentral lists this ribosomal RNA (230 nucleotides) under uncultured bacterium. RNAcentral's name for it is "partial 16S ribosomal RNA". It matches the Rfam family "Bacterial small subunit ribosomal RNA", at positions 562 to 791 of the family's 1533-position model. The record is from RNAcentral.